Molecule: long non-coding RNA, 674 nt
Organism: Rhinopithecus roxellana (golden snub-nosed monkey)
Lineage: Eukaryota; Metazoa; Chordata; Mammalia; Primates; Cercopithecidae
Exons: 3
Source: RefSeq, a predicted model, not a curated record
UGCUUUCCUGGUAGAAAGAACAGAUGUCUCUCCUGCCUGCCUGUCUCAAAUGAGUACAUGAUGUGUAAUAUCUGGAGCAUUGGCAGCCACGUUGAGAUCAUAAUGCAACAUGUCCACAUGCUGAGGCUGGCAGAGCAUAAAGAUCAAAGGUGUCUGGAUCCUUCUUAACAUCAUGAAGCUUCUGCACCAUCCCUGCACUGCCUACUCCAGACUCCCUACCAUGGAGAAAAAUUAGCGCCUAUUUCUUCAAGGCAGAGGUCGCACUAUCUCUCUUGCAACUGCUCAAGCAAAAGCAACCAUAGGAAAUAUGUAGUCAAACAGCUGACUGUUCACCAGCAGGCUAGCAGCUGAGCCCGGGGCUUUGAGGGACAGAUGACAGCUGGAUGGCUGACCAGCUUGCAGAGAAAGCUUGAAAUCUUGGGCACACACGGAAUGGAGCAAGAAAUUUUCCCAUUUGGACAUACCAAAGAGUAAGUUCUCUUUGAGAAAUUGGCGAGGAGUGAGAUGGGGUUGAAUUCCAGGAAAAGGAGAUGAAAUUUGUUUCUCAGGCAAACAUGCCAUCAGCAAGGUACGAGCUUUAGGCUGAGCUGACAGCAGCAAAUAGGGCUUGAUGAGCAUGACUUCCAGCCUGCAGAGAGAGCUGCAUCCCAGCAAGAAGGGAGCAAAUGGCACCA